GUUUGGAUUUGCUUAGAAGCAAAGAUACAGUGGAGUAUGCAAGAAACAGAGUAUAUAAAUUGGUAAGAGACCUCAAAGCCUCUUGCUUGCUAUUAGACGGUGACAGGAAUGGAUCUCUGAAAAUGCAUGACGUUGUUAGGGAUACUGCUCUCGAUAUUGCAUCUAAAUCUCAACACCCAUUCACAUUCAGAGAUGUAGUUGAAACAAAAGAAUGGCCAAACAGGGAUUUCAGAAGCUGCUCCAGAAUCGCUUUGCCUUCCUGUGAAAUCCAUGAGCUUCCUGA
This 283-nucleotide unclassified non-coding RNA is filed under the name Hevea brasiliensis (rubber tree). Lineage: Eukaryota; Viridiplantae; Streptophyta; Magnoliopsida; Malpighiales; Euphorbiaceae. The record is from RNAcentral.